This 661-nucleotide ribosomal RNA is filed under the name Anisolabididae sp. DM26. Its description in RNAcentral is "SSU rRNA". It matches the Rfam family "Eukaryotic small subunit ribosomal RNA", at positions 52 to 698 of the family's 1831-position model. The record is from RNAcentral. Lineage: Eukaryota; Metazoa; Arthropoda; Insecta; Dermaptera; Anisolabididae.
UGCAUGUCUCAGUGCAACUAAACUAAGGUGAAACCGCAAAUGGCUCAUUAAAUCAGUUAUGGUUCAUUAGAUGAUACACCACAUUACUUGGAUAACUGUGGUAAUUCUAGAGCUAAUACAUGCAAACAGAGUUCCCACCGGAGACGGUAGGAACGCUUUUAUUAGAUCAAAACCAAUACGUUCGUUCUGCGGACGCUACCAUUGGUGACUCUGAAUAACUUUUUGAUGAUCGCAUGGUCCUUGUACCGGCGACAAGUCUUUCAAAUGUCUGCCUUAUCAACUGUCGAUGGUAGGCUCUGCGCCUACCAUGGUUGUAACGGGUGACGGGGAAUCAGGGUUCGAUUCCGGAGAGGGAGCCUGAGAAACGGCUACCACAUCCAAGGAAGGCAGCAGGCGCGCAAAUUACCCACUCCCGGCACGGGGAGGUAGUGACGAAAAAUAACGAUACGGGACUCAUCCGAGGCCCCGUAAUCGGAAUGAGUACACUUUAAAUACUUUAACAAGUAUCCAUUGGAGGGCAAGUCUGGUGCCAGCAGCCGCGGUAAUUCCAGCUCCAAUAGCGUAUAUUAAAGUUGUUGCGGUUAAAAAGCUCGUAGUUGGGACUGUGUCCCGCACUGUCGGUGCGCCAUUUAUGGUGUUUACUGACAUGCUGCGGGACGUC